RNAcentral lists this transfer RNA (71 nucleotides) under Cordylochernes scorpioides. Its description in RNAcentral is "tRNA-Gly". Lineage: Eukaryota; Metazoa; Arthropoda; Arachnida; Pseudoscorpiones; Chernetidae. The record is from RNAcentral.
UGUAUCUGCCGGGAAUCGAACCCGGGUUGCCCGCGUGGCAAGCGAGCAUUUUACCACUGAAAUACCGAUGC